GGGGCUAUAGCUCAGCUGGGAGAGCGCCUGCUUUGCACGCAGGAGGUCUGCGGUUCGAUCCCGCAUAGCUUCA
This 73-nucleotide transfer RNA is filed under the name Escherichia coli. RNAcentral describes it as "tRNA-Ala". It matches the Rfam family "tRNA". From Rfam's summary of the family: Transfer RNA (tRNA) molecules are approximately 80 nucleotides in length. The record is from RNAcentral. Lineage: Bacteria; Pseudomonadati; Pseudomonadota; Gammaproteobacteria; Enterobacterales; Enterobacteriaceae. RNAcentral also lists the same sequence under 1 other name.